GAUGAACGCUGGCGGCGUGCCUAACACAUGCAAGUCGAACGGAGUCGUUUUGGAAAAUCCUUCGGGAUUGGAAUUCUCGACUUAGUGGCGGACGGGUGAGUAACGCGUGAGCAAUCUGCCUUUAAGAGGGGGAUAACAGUCGGAAACGGCUGCUAAUACCGCAUAAAGCAUCAAAUUCGCAUGUUUUUGAUGCCAAAGGAGCAAUCCGCUUUUAGAUGAGCUCGCGUCUGAUUAGCUGGUUGGCGGGGUAACGGCCCACCAAGGCGACGAUCAGUAGCCGGACUGAGAGGUUGAACGGCCACAUUGGGACUGAGACACGGCCCAGACUCCUACGGGAGGCAGCAGUGGGGAAUAUUGCGCAAUGGGGGAAACCCUGACGCAGCAACGCCGCGUGAUUGAAGAAGGCCUUCGGGUUGUAAAGAUCUU
RNAcentral lists this ribosomal RNA (426 nucleotides) under uncultured bacterium. RNAcentral describes it as "bacterial SSU rRNA". It matches the Rfam family "Bacterial small subunit ribosomal RNA", at positions 28 to 435 of the family's 1533-position model. The record is from RNAcentral.